AGCUGAGUGGCGCAGCGGAAGCGCGCCGGGCUCAUAACCCGGAGGACAGUGGAUCGAAACCACUCUCAGCUACAA
Molecule: non-coding RNA, 75 nt
Organism: Dothideomycetidae sp. 11243
Lineage: Eukaryota; Fungi; Ascomycota; Dothideomycetes
Source: the annotation of a GenBank genome assembly